GUGCAGGGGAGUGUUUUUGCAAGCAAGCCAUGGUUGAAGCAGUUUGGUAGUUAGGUUUGACAUGUCUGGGUGCAACAAAAUUUAUCUUGGUGGACUUCAUGGAGUGCGUGGAGUGUCAGCUUUCACAUUGGGACAUAAUGUGUAUCUUCAAUUGAUCAACGGGGCUGCACUUAUUGAAAGUGUUCUUUUGCCAAAUGCCGAGUCAGUAGAUCUUGCCGACUGCAGACCGAUUCUUUCUGAGACUCAAGGGCUUUCCAAUACCAACGCGGAGCAGAGGUUGCCAUGUAAAUUGCAAUUUGCAAGAAUAAUAGCUUCUUUGUUUUGGGCACCACAAGAAUUAAAUGGCAGCAGCACCAAAGGAAGUGCACCUAUGCUACGUGGAAUUGCAGAGUAAUUUCAAAUGCAGAAACAUCAUGCGUCUGUAGCAUGUGGAUCCGGCAAUGGAAAUAAUUGCACGACCCUUAGCGUCAAAGCUUGAUGCCCAUGGCAGCGUGCUUCUUGCUUCAAAGUAAUUCCACAAUUAUGUCUGACGCUUUCUAGGAAGGUCUCCUUUCCACAUCUCUCCCUCAAGUCAUUUUGCAAUUAUGUGAUGGUUCUUUCCAGGAAAGUCCCCUCUUUCCUGUCCCUCACUCUUGUGGGGUUUGUGCGUAGAGAAAGGUAUGUUUAUCUGCAGAAAUGGUCCUUCAAACUUCACAGUGAUCUUAGACCCUCCUGUCAGCGUCCAAUGCAGAGGUUGGGAGCCGCCAAAAGCAUAUCACUAAUGCUCAUAAUGUGAGGUCCACUGCAAAUGACAUGGCAGUUUCAUGUUCCUAUCGCGUCUGUGCAGGGGCAGAGGGGUCCCCUGAACCUCUCCCUCUUCCCUUUUUUUUAAAUUACAUGUAAAUUUUAAAAAAUUUCACUUGUCUUAUAUAAAAAUUUUAAAAAUAAUAUUUUAUGAUC
Molecule: long non-coding RNA, 939 nt
Organism: Nymphaea colorata (pocket water lily)
Lineage: Eukaryota; Viridiplantae; Streptophyta; Magnoliopsida; Nymphaeales; Nymphaeaceae
Exons: 2
Source: RefSeq, a predicted model, not a curated record